Molecule: ribosomal RNA, 253 nt
Filed under: uncultured bacterium
Lineage: Bacteria
Description: partial 16S ribosomal RNA
Rfam family: Bacterial small subunit ribosomal RNA
Source: RNAcentral
UACGAAGGCAGCGAGCGUUGUUCGGAAUUACUGGGCGUAAAGAGUGUGUAGGUGGUGCUCUAAGUUUGGUGUGAAAUCUCCCGGCUCAACCGGGAGGGUGCAUCGAAAACUGGAGUGCUAGAGGAUGGGAGAGGCAAGCGGAAUUCCUGGUGUAGCGGUGAAAUGCGUAGAUAUCAGGAGGAACACCGUUGGCGAAGGCGGCUUCCUGGACUGUCCCUGACGCUGAGGCGCGAAAGCGUGGGUAGCAAACAGG